This is a long non-coding RNA of Scomber scombrus (Atlantic mackerel), 201 nucleotides long. RefSeq lists it as uncharacterized. The transcript has 3 exons. NCBI's taxonomy places the organism in Eukaryota, Metazoa, Chordata, Actinopteri, Scombriformes, Scombridae. The record is from RefSeq and is a predicted model, not a curated record.
AAUUAAGCUGUGCAAAGUUGAAUGAUGCAUUAGUUCCAUGUCACGCUGGUUCCCAUACCUCAUGAUGAGCGACAGGGUGGUGACUUAGCCGCCAACCUACAUACUGUACGCUUGGCUGGAAUACCUGAGAGGUAGAUUUUCUUCAGAUUCCAGUAGAGCAUGUCAUAAAUAUGAAGGCUUGAACUGCCCAGCUCAAACGCA